RNAcentral lists this ribosomal RNA (261 nucleotides) under uncultured bacterium. RNAcentral describes it as "partial 16S ribosomal RNA". It matches the Rfam family "Archaeal small subunit ribosomal RNA", at positions 744 to 1004 of the family's 1478-position model. The record is from RNAcentral.
GUCCCAGCUGUAAACACUGCCUGUUUGGUGCUACAGCUCCUUCGUGGAGCUGUGGUGUCGUAGCGAAGGCGUUAAACAGGCCGCCUGGGGAGUACGGCCGCAAGACUGAAACUUAAAGGAAUAGGCGGGGAGCACCACAAGGGGUGAAUGCUGCGGUUCAAUUGGAUUCAACGCCCGGAACCUUACCAGCAUCGACAGCAGAAUGAAGGUCCUCCUAAAUGGGGGUACUCGACACGCUGAGAGGUGGUGCAUGGCCGUCGU